Molecule: ribosomal RNA, 433 nt
Filed under: uncultured bacterium
Lineage: Bacteria
Description: partial 16S ribosomal RNA
Rfam family: Bacterial small subunit ribosomal RNA
Source: RNAcentral
AACGAACGCUGGCGGCAUGCCUAACACAUGCAAGUCGAACGAGACCUUCGGGCCUAGGGGCGCACGGGUGCGUACCGCGGGGGAACCUGCCCUUAGGUUCGGAAUAACUGCCCGAAGGGUGUGCUAAUACCGGAUAAUGUCUUCGCACCAAAGAUUUAUCGCCUUUGGAUGGGGCCGGGUUGGAUUAGCUGGUUGGUAGGGUAAAAGCAUACCAAGGCGACGAUGCAGAGCUGGUCUGAUAGGAUGACACUCCGCAAUGGGACUGAGACACGGCCCACUCUCGUACGGAAGGGUGGAGUGGGGAAUAUUAGGGGCGGAGGGAUAGCCUAGUCCAGCAACGUCGGGGAUGAGGUCAAGGCCUUAGGAUUGUAAUUCCGUCUUUCACGAAAUGAUAAUGACAGUACCGGGUAAAUAAGCUCCGGCUAACUCCGUG